AUUGAACGCUGGCGGCAGGCCUAACACAUGCAAGUCGAACGGUAACAGGAAGAAGCUUGCCUCUUUGCUGACGAGUGGCGGACGGGUGAGUAAUGUCUGGGAAACUGCCUGAUGGAGGGGGAUAACUACUGGAAACGGUAGCUAAUACCGCAUAACGUCGCAAGACCAAAGAGGGGGACCUUCGGGCCUCUUGCCAUCGGAUGUGCCCAGAUGGGAUUAGCUAGUAGGUGGGGUAACGGCUCACCUAGGCGACGAUCCCUAGCUGGUCCGAGAGGAUGACCAGACACACUGGAACUGAGACACGGUCCAGACUCCUACGGGAGGCAGCAGUGGGGAAUAUUGCACAAUGGGCGCAAGCCUGAUGCAGCCAUGCCGCGUGUAUGAAGAAGGCCUUCGGGUUGUAAAGUACUUUCAGCGGGGAGGAAGGGAGUAAAGUUAAUACCUUUGCUCAUUGACGUUACCCGCAGAAGAAGCACCGGCUAACUCCGUG
This 490-nucleotide ribosomal RNA is filed under the name uncultured bacterium. Its description in RNAcentral is "partial 16S ribosomal RNA". It matches the Rfam family "Bacterial small subunit ribosomal RNA", at positions 30 to 507 of the family's 1533-position model. The record is from RNAcentral.